RNAcentral lists this ribosomal RNA (265 nucleotides) under uncultured archaeon. RNAcentral's name for it is "partial 16S ribosomal RNA". It matches the Rfam family "Archaeal small subunit ribosomal RNA", at positions 717 to 982 of the family's 1478-position model. The record is from RNAcentral.
ACACGACUACAUUAGAUACCCGGGUAGUCCUAGCCGUAAACGAUACUCGCUAGGUGUCGGCCACGGUGCGACCGUUGUCGGUGCCGUAGGGAAGCCGUGAAGCGAGCCACCUGGGAAGUACGGCCGCAAAGGCUGAAACUUAAAGGAAUUGGCGGGGAGCACCACAACGGGUGGAGCUUGCGGUUUAAUUGGAUUCAACGCCGGAAAUCUUACCGGGACCGACAGCAACAUGAAGGCCAGGCUGAAGACUUUGCCGGAUUAGCUG